Molecule: ribosomal RNA, 484 nt
Filed under: uncultured bacterium
Lineage: Bacteria
Description: partial 16S ribosomal RNA
Rfam family: Bacterial small subunit ribosomal RNA
Source: RNAcentral
AUUGAACGCUGGCGGCAGGCCUAACACAUGCAAGUCGAGCGGAUGAAGGGAGCUUGCUCCUGGAUUCAGCGGCGGACGGGUGAGUAAUGCCUAGGAAUCUGCCUGGUAGUGGGGGAUAACGUCCGGAAACGGGCGCUAAUACCGCAUACGUCCUGAGGGAGAAAGUGGGGGAUCUUCGGACCUCACGCUAUCAGAUGAGCCUAGGUCGGAUUAGCUAGUUGGUGGGGUAAAGGCCUACCAAGGCGACGAUCCGUAACUGGUCUGAGAGGAUGAUCAGUCACACUGGAACUGAGACACGGUCCAGACUCCUACGGGAGGCAGCAGUGGGGAAUAUUGGACAAUGAGCGAAAGCCUGAUCCAGCCAUGCCGCGUGUGUGAAGAAGGUCUUCGGAUUGUAAAGCACUUUAAGUUGGGAGGAAGGGCAGUAAGUUAAUACCGUGCUGUUUUGACGUUACCAACAGAAUAAGCACCGGCUAACUUCGUG